UACGUAGGGCGCGAGCGUUGUCCGGAUUUAUUGGGCGUAAAGAGCUCGUAGGCGGCUUGUUGCGUCAGCUGUGAAAACCCGCAGCUCAACUGUGGGCUUGCAGCUGAUACGGGCAGGCUUGAGUUCGGUAGGGGAGACUGGAAUUUCUGGUGUAGCGGUGAAAUGCGCAGAUAUCAGGAGGAACACCGGUGGCGAAGGCGGGUCUCUGGGCCGAUACUGACGCUGAGGAGCGAAAGCGUGGGGAGCGAACAGG
Molecule: ribosomal RNA, 253 nt
Filed under: uncultured bacterium
Lineage: Bacteria
Description: partial 16S ribosomal RNA
Rfam family: Bacterial small subunit ribosomal RNA
Source: RNAcentral